UACAGAGGGUGCAAACGUUGUUCGGAUUUAUUGGGCGUAAAGCGCGUGUAGGCGGUUUCUUAAGUCUGAUGUGAAAGCCCUGGGCUCAACCCAGGAAGUGCAUUGGAUACUGGGAGACUUGAAUACGGGAGAGGGUAGUGGAAUUCCUAGUGUAGGAGUGAAAUCCGUAGAUAUUAGGAGGAACACCGGUGGCGAAGGCGGCUACCUGGACCGAUAUUGACGCUGAGACGCGAAAGCGUGGGGAGCAAACAGG
RNAcentral lists this ribosomal RNA (253 nucleotides) under uncultured bacterium. RNAcentral describes it as "partial 16S ribosomal RNA". It matches the Rfam family "Bacterial small subunit ribosomal RNA", at positions 524 to 776 of the family's 1533-position model. The record is from RNAcentral.